GUCGAGAAUCUUUCACAAUGGGGGCAACCCUGAUGGAGCGACGCCGCGUGGAGGAUAAGGUCUUCGGAUUGUAAACUCCUGUCAUGCGUGAACAAGGUUGCUUGGUUAAUACCUGGGCAAAUUGAUGGUAACGCAAGAGGAAGAGACGGCUAACUCUGUGCCAGCAGCCGCGGUAAUACAGAGGUCUCAAGCGUUGUUCGGAAUCACUGGGCGUAAAGGGUGCGUAGGUGGCGUGGUAAGUCAGAUGUGAAAGCCCGGGGCUCAACCUCGGAACUGCCUCCGAUACUGCCAUGCUAGAGUACUGGAGAGGUGACUAGAAUUCUCGGUGUAGCAGUGAAAUGCGUAGAUAUCGAGAGGAAUACCAAAGGCGUAGGCAGGUCACUGGACAGUUACUGACACUGAGGCACGAAGGCCAGGGGAGCGAACGGGAUUAGAUACCCUUGUAGUCC
RNAcentral lists this ribosomal RNA (449 nucleotides) under uncultured bacterium. RNAcentral's name for it is "partial 16S ribosomal RNA". It matches the Rfam family "Bacterial small subunit ribosomal RNA", at positions 354 to 796 of the family's 1533-position model. The record is from RNAcentral.